RNAcentral lists this long non-coding RNA (736 nucleotides) under Daucus carota (carrot). RNAcentral describes it as "long non-coding RNA (DCAR_LNC005731)". The record is from RNAcentral. Lineage: Eukaryota; Viridiplantae; Streptophyta; Magnoliopsida; Apiales; Apiaceae.
UCUGCUUUAGUUUGUGCCACCCUUUUUCUCCAUCCACAGAAUUAAAAAGGCAAAAAGAAAAUUUUGAGUUAUCCACAUUCCAGAAAGUUCAAAUAUAUAAUUCCACAACUAAGUUUAAAAGUCUCAUAUAUACAACCCUUAUCUUAAAAACCCGAUCUGUAUACCAAUUUAGAGUGACUUGAUGGGGUUUUCUUUGUUGGCCGUUGUGAAGCUCAAGCUCUUAGCCUCUAGUUCUCAGACAAUAUCUUUUACUCCAUAUGUCGCAUAUCUAGUAGGUCCGUUUCUGCUUAAGGUUUUCUUGAAAUUAAGAUCUUUACCUCAGUUUUAUGAAGAUGUAUUGCAUGCUACAAGGUUCUUACUUUUCCAAUUCAACCAAAUAGCUUUUGAGAUCAGGCUCGAAGAUCUUGGAGAUCGGAGCAGAUGGGAGAGAGCUCUCCGAUUGUUCACCGAGAGGAUAAGGCGAAUAUCUUCACCUUCUGAUGAGGCUCGUCGCUUGCAUGAUCUUUCAAUGGUAGCUCUUUAAUAAGUCGUUAAGUAAUUAUGUUGGUCGGCUCACAAAUAGUUUUUAUGUUGUUUAUCUUAUACAAAAUUAUCCUAUUUGGUUAGUAUUGUUCAUGACUUCUACUUCUCACAUGAUGGUGCAUGUUCGGUUUUUUUUUAUGUUUCUUAUUCUAGUUUGUUCAUCACUUUAUGUUUUUGUUUCUUUCUACAAAAACAAUGAUACUUAUCCCUUUAU